Molecule: long non-coding RNA, 301 nt
Filed under: Mytilus galloprovincialis (Mediterranean mussel)
Lineage: Eukaryota; Metazoa; Mollusca; Bivalvia; Mytilida; Mytilidae
Source: RNAcentral
AAUUUGGAUGGACCGACAACGUCGGGUCAUUUUUUACGUAGUCAGAACUAUACAAAACAACACUGCAUAUGUAAGGUAACACCAAAGUUACAUUGUUCGCUAAAAGAUCUUGAUUUUACUAUUCUCCAUACUAUAUUUAGACAUUCUGUUACUCUUUCGACAAGUGUUGAAAACUGGCUUACAGUUAUCCAAAACAUACGAAAUAAACUUGCACAUGUGCACAGUACGAGCAAUUUUGACACUGGCAGAUUAGAAAAAUGGUGGACAAAACUAGAGGGGUCUGUGAUAGGUUUAGCCGGAG